Pelobates cultripes (western spadefoot toad) is the source of this 77-nucleotide non-coding RNA. The record is from the annotation of a GenBank genome assembly. Lineage: Eukaryota; Metazoa; Chordata; Amphibia; Anura; Pelobatidae.
ACACACACACUCUGCAUUAUAUACACACUCUGCAUUAUAUACACAGAGUGUGUGUAUAUAAUGCAGAGUGUGUGUUU